UACCCCAGUAGAUUAUAUAUUACUAAUCUAAUAAUUUUAGUAACAUGAUUUAUUCAAAAUCAAAGUUUCUUAAUUGGUUGUCUGUUUACUUACCAUGUGACAGUGGAUCGACACUUUACUCUUAAAAUGUACAGUGAAAUGAGCUUAUACUUUGUGUAGUAGUAUAUGAAGUACUAAGUAGAACUAUGAGGCAACUUCGAUGGAAUCCAGUCUCUAAAUUGGCAGAAUUUAUUUAAUUAAAGGGUCAAGUUUGGUCAUUGACUUAAAUUUAUUUAACUAUACGAAAACUUAGUAAUGUAUUACUCCAAAAAUAUACAGUAAAAGUAACGGAUAUUUGCUGUAGUAGAACAGGAGUUAUCAAAGGGCAAAGUUCAGCUACUGGUGUCAGUUGAACUUACUGAAUGAUACUUUAUGCAUUAUUUAAAAACUAUGCAGUAAAAUAAGUUGAUAUUUCCUGUGGUAGUAGUCUAUAAAGUACUAGGUAGUGAUGUCCCAAUUUGAGUAAUUUAUUCAAAUCCAAGAUUUAGAAAAAGAGGCAAAUUGCCUCUUUAUAUUUUCCGUUAGUGAAUAUAUUUAGACAUUCACUGUAAAUUCUGUAAUUUCUUAAAUUUAAUUCAUUUCCUUGCAACAUUUAUCUUAAUAUCGCCCCAGAUGCUCCUAAAAGUGAGAGUCUCGGCUUUUCUCAGUGAUCGCAACAGUUACCGUAACUAUAGCACGAAUCGCGCACCUUGAAUAUAGCGACGGCUCAUUUGACCACGGAAAAGUAAACGGCGGUUCAUUUGACCGUGGUGACACACCGGAGCAAACGGCAACUGUAGCUUGUUUGAUCCUUUCGGUAAUUAAUCUUACUGCAUCUAUUUAUGACAAUGAGUAGCACAUGUGUACAGCGAGCGGCGCUACAAUAAGUAUAGUGAAUUUUACUGUCUUGUCGUCUGCGUUAGAUUAAAGAUUAUGACACAAUAAAAAAGUGCUACCACUAGCAUCAUAAUGGCUCAGAGAACUUUCCUUUUACGAUGCAAACAAAUCGUUAAUGAGUGUACUCGACUUCUACAAGGGGACAGUCCACCAGAUGACGCAUUUCAAACAGUUCUAACAAGAAUGGAAACCCUUAAACGCUGUCUGGAAUGCUCAAGAGGGAGGUUGAUGGAUGCAACAGCAGUACAAGACAUCCUUGAAAACAUUGAGAAAUAUACUCAGGAGGUCAAGGAAAUGCAACAGGGGGCUCAACAAGUGCUUAUAGACACAAGCUUCUACGGCGAUAAAGAGGCACGUGAUGGCUGGACUGUCAUGCGAGGUGGUGUCAGCAAAAGUAAAACUCACAAGUCAUAGAGUCAAUUGACUCUCUGCAUAUUCGUUGAACCGAGGGCUGCUUGAAGUGCUGUUUCUGUUGUAAUAGAGAUUAACGUGCACACGCAUCAUAGACCAGAAGCACAAGUGGCCAUUGGUUUUAAUGCUGUCAACUAGGGCUCAAGCAUGCAUUAAAGAGUCCAUUUACCUAAGA
Molecule: long non-coding RNA, 1501 nt
Organism: Betta splendens (Siamese fighting fish)
Lineage: Eukaryota; Metazoa; Chordata; Actinopteri; Anabantiformes; Osphronemidae
Exons: 4
Source: RefSeq, a predicted model, not a curated record